CGGAAAGCCUGACGCAGCCAUGCCGCGUGAAUGAUGAAGGUCUUAGGAUUGUAAAAUUCUUUCACCGGGGACGAUAAUGACGGUACCCGGAGAAGAAGCCCCGGCUAACUUCGUGCCAGCAGCCGCGGUAAUACGAAGGGGGCUAGCGUUGCUCGGAAUUACUGCGCGUAAAGGGCGCGUAGGCGGACAGUUAAGUUGGGGGUGAAAGCCCGGGGGCUCAACCUCGGAACUGCCUUCAAUACUGGCUGUCUUGAGUAUGAGAGAGGUGUGUGGAACUCCGAGUGUAGAGGUGAAAUACGUAGAUAUUCGGAAGAACACCAGUGGCGAAGGCGACACACUGGCUCAUUACUGACGCUGAGGCGCGAAAGCGUGGGGAGCAAACAGGAUUAGAUACCCUGGUAGUCCACGCUGUAAACGAUGAGUGCUAGUUGUCGGGCGGCAUGCCGUUCGGUGACGCAGCUAACGCAUUAAGCACUCCGCCUGGGGAGUACGGUCGCAAGAUUA
RNAcentral lists this ribosomal RNA (504 nucleotides) under uncultured Pseudomonadota bacterium. RNAcentral describes it as "bacterial SSU rRNA". It matches the Rfam family "Bacterial small subunit ribosomal RNA", at positions 376 to 896 of the family's 1533-position model. Lineage: Bacteria; Pseudomonadati; Pseudomonadota. The record is from RNAcentral.